This 953-nucleotide ribosomal RNA is filed under the name Salmonella enterica subsp. enterica serovar Typhimurium. RNAcentral describes it as "partial 23S ribosomal RNA". It matches the Rfam family "Bacterial large subunit ribosomal RNA", at positions 696 to 1566 of the family's 2925-position model. Lineage: Bacteria; Pseudomonadati; Pseudomonadota; Gammaproteobacteria; Enterobacterales; Enterobacteriaceae. The record is from RNAcentral.
UAAGUUGCAGGGUAUAGACCCGAAACCCGGUGAUCUAGCCAUGGGCAGGUUGAAGGUUGGGUAACACUAACUGGAGGACCGAACCGACUAAUGUUGAAAAAUUAGCGGAUGACCUGUGGCUGGGGGUGAAAGGCCAAUCAAACCGGGAGAUAGCUGGUUCUCCCCGAAAGCUAUUUAGGUAGCGCCUCGUGAAUUCAUCUCCGGGGGUAGAGCACUGUUUCGGCUAGGGGGCCAUCCCGGCUUACCAACCCGAUGCAAACUGCGAAUACCGGAGAAUGUUAUCACGGGAGACACACGGCGGGUGCUAACGUCCGUCGUGAAGAGGGAAACAACCCAGACCGCCAGCUAAGGUCCCAAAGUCAUGGUUAAGUGGGAAACGAUGUGGGAAGGCCCAGACAGCCAGGAUGUUGGCUUAGAAGCAGCCAUCAUUUAAAGAAAGCGUAAUAGCUCACUGGUCGAGUCGGCCUGCGCGGAAGAUGUAACGGGGCUAAACCAUGCACCGAAGCUGCGGCAGCGAACGUAUCACUUAAAGCGAUUCAGCGGGUUACGAUUGACGGAGCGAAGCGACGUCAAAGCGUAUACAAAGUCGAGUCGGUUUAAGGAUACGUUCGUUGGGUAGGGGAGCGUUCUGUAAGCCUGUGAAGGUGGCCUGUGAGGGUUGCUGGAGGUAUCAGAAGUGCGAAUGCUGACAUAAGUAACGAUAAAGCGGGUGAAAAGCCCGCUCGCCGGAAGACCAAGGGUUCCUGUCCAACGUUAAUCGGGGCAGGGUGAGUCGACCCCUAAGGCGAGGCCGAAAGGCGUAGUCGAUGGGAAACGGGUUAAUAUUCCCGUACUUGGUGUUACUGCGAAGGGGGGACGGAGAAGGCUAUGUUGGCCGGGCGACGGUUGUCCCGGUUUAAGCGUGUAGGUGUGUGUUCCAGGUAAAUCCGGUUCACUUUAACACUGAGGCGUGA